GAGAACACAAGACAGAUGAGAGGAGAGGAUGGAAAGAGAGAGAAAGAGAGAUGAGAUUGAUGUGUGGAAUGGAUGAUUGAAUCUAAGGAUGGAUGUUGGAGAGGGAAAGGGAUAUAUCCAAAUCAGUCAGAAACUUGGAAAAAGGGAAUUAUUGAUGGUGUAAAGUGAUGAAUUGCAGAUAGAUAAUGGAAAGAUGGGAGGAAGGACGUCACGUAAUGUAAAGGAAAAAGAAGAAAUACGAAAAGAACAAAGAAAUGGAAUAAUGGAAAUAAGAUAGUAAUAAUGGAGAUGAAUGUAUGAUGGAUGAAUGAGUGGAUGAAUGAUACUAAAUCUGCUUCCUGCUCUCAGGAGUCCAAUACAACACAUGCCUUAAACCUUUCACAUUUGUCACUGAUAUUAGCAGUGUUGCAUAAUACGGAAAAUUGUCCAGUUAUCGAAUACUUCUAAGAAACUUGUGCAUAGUUUCUGUGACACUCCAUUAGCAGGUUCUGUCAUUAGCACAAUUCUUCUUCUUCUUUCAGCUUUGGCAGCAAAAGUGAGCUUCCAUGCCAACAACAUCCUACUGAACAGAACUCAAAAAAGGCAAGAGAAAACAGGACAUCCAUCUCAAAUAAAGCAGUCCCUUUUAAAGAUAUCACCUCGUUUGGCCUUGUAAAAGUAGCGCCUCUGUUCUGCCAGUCUGGCAAAGUUUGGAAAUGGUCAUCUCUCCUAGGUUUCAUCAAAUUCAUCAUUUCACAUAAUGUGGAAUAGUUGAUCAUGGUUAGCCACGAAGGGCAACUGAAUUAAGGGCAACUGGACUUCUGGAGGCCAUGAGAACUAAUCAAGUGGCAUAAAUGGCCUUAAUAACAACCUGGGUCUCCCCAUUAGUCAGAACUGAGGGAGUCCCUCUUUUGGGUGAGAGGAGAAACAUAUUCAGGUAUCUAAAGCCAAGACCAGUUGCCCUUGAUUCAACCCUUCCUUUCUAACCAUGACCUGGAUGACUGCUGCAGCAGGAUGGUGUGUGAGAGACACGAAAUAAACCCAGCGCCCCAUGGUAAUGAAGGGACAGUGCACCAGCGUCAUUUACUGAUGUGUUUUUAAUAGUUUUUGGACAACAGUGUGACACAGCUAUAUCAGGCCUUGGCUACACCAUUAAAGCUUUUUAUAGCAUUUGCUGACAGUAGGAAAAAUAUAAUAUAGAGUAUUACUAGCUCUGUCCUUUAAGACACUCAUCACUGUGUUAGACGCUGCAUUACAAGGUGGUUAUUUUCCAUAGCGCGGUGCAGACAGCCACCCUUCCCAGCUCAAACACACACACACACAGUCUCUGUUGACAGGGCCAGCGGAAGUGCCAGACGUCAUUAGCAGAGACAAGGCCGCAGAGGAACACAAAGGAGCUCUGUCACUGAGAUAUGAAGGGAGAGAGAGAGGGAGGGGGACAGAGAGAGAAAGUUUGGGUGAGGGGGAGAUAGUGGAGCGAAAUGGAAGAAGGGAAGAGGAUUGGGAAAAGCAGGACAGAGCGGUGAACUGGAGAGAAAGAAGAGAAGCAGAUAAACAUCCACUCAACCCUCAGAAGAACUUCCUCCCCAGCAAUCCACCCUUUCAACACCCCUGGGCUGACGAAGGAGACGACACUUAACUCCCAGUCCUUUUGUCUCCUGCAGUAAAGUGUGGAGGUUGACUCAUUAAUCCCAGGUUCCUCUCUCCGUGGCAGAGUCAAAGGUUGGACAUGUUGAUGUUCAGCAGCGAUCAUUUCAGUCUCAGAAGCUGGAGUUUCCCUGAAUGCACCAACAAAAAACAGCAACUCAAAAACAUCUCUACUUGCAGCUGCAUUACUGAACCGGCCACAAGGACUGAACGUCUCUGGCUUUUUCUUGUUUUCAUACAGCUGGGGACCACUUCUAAACCUUUGGAAAGACGUCUCUGAAUUGGUCACUUGUGGUCCAGAAUGCCGCUGCAAAGUCAGACAACGUCCUCUAAAAAGUCUUAUGUAACACAAAUCUUGAUUUUUUUUUCUCAGCAUUAAAUUCAGAGGUUUUAUUAGCUAUUGCAGCUUUAUAUCAUCAGCAGGUCUCUGAGGUCUUCUGAUCAAGGCUUUGGGCUGAGAACUUCUUUAGACUUGAGAGCUUCACCUCUUAUUGUGAUUCUCUUUGUGAUGUUUUUUCUAGAAAGGUGUUAAUAAAGUUAUCUUACUUGUUUACUUA
Long non-coding RNA from Lates calcarifer (barramundi perch), 2183 nucleotides. RefSeq lists it as uncharacterized. The transcript has 5 exons. The record is from RefSeq and is a predicted model, not a curated record. Lineage: Eukaryota; Metazoa; Chordata; Actinopteri; Centropomidae.